UACGUAGGGUGCAGGCGUUAAUCGGAAUUACUGGGCGUAAAGCGUGCGCAGGCGGUCUGUUAAGAGAGGUGUGAAAUCCCCGGGCUUAACCUGGGAACUGCGCUUCUAACUGGCAGGCUGGAGUGUGGCAGAGGGGGGUGGAAUUCCACGUGUAGCAGUGAAAUGCGUAGAGAUGUGGAGGAACACCGAUGGCGAAGGCAGCCCCCUGGGCUAACACUGACGCUCAUGCACGAAAGCGUGGGGAGCAAACAGG
RNAcentral lists this ribosomal RNA (253 nucleotides) under uncultured bacterium. RNAcentral's name for it is "partial 16S ribosomal RNA". It matches the Rfam family "Bacterial small subunit ribosomal RNA", at positions 524 to 776 of the family's 1533-position model. The record is from RNAcentral.